GAUGAACGCUGGCGGCGUGCUUAACACAUGCAAGUCGAACGAUGAAGCCCAGCUUGCUGGGUGGAUUAGUGGCGAACGGGUGAGUAACACGUGAGUAACCUGCCCUUAACUCUGGGAUAAGCCUGGGAAACUGGGUCUAAUACCGGAUAGGAGCGUCCACCGCAUGGUGGGUGUUGGAAAGAUUUAUCGGUUUUGGAUGGACUCGCGGCCUAUCAGCUUGUUGGUGAGGUAAUGGCUCACCAAGGCGACGACGGGUAGCCGGCCUGAGAGGGUGACCGGCCACACUGGGACUGAGACACGGCCCAGACUCCUACGGGAGGCAGCAGUGGGGAAUAAUGCACAAUGGGCGAAAGCCUGAUGCAGCGACGCCGCGUGAGGGAUGACGGCCUUCGGGUUGUAAACCUCUUUCAGUAGGGAAGAAGCGAAAGUGACGGUACCUGCAGAAGAAGCACCGGCUAACUACGUG
RNAcentral lists this ribosomal RNA (466 nucleotides) under uncultured bacterium. RNAcentral describes it as "partial 16S ribosomal RNA". It matches the Rfam family "Bacterial small subunit ribosomal RNA", at positions 28 to 507 of the family's 1533-position model. The record is from RNAcentral.